RNAcentral lists this ribosomal RNA (253 nucleotides) under uncultured bacterium. RNAcentral describes it as "partial 16S ribosomal RNA". It matches the Rfam family "Bacterial small subunit ribosomal RNA", at positions 524 to 776 of the family's 1533-position model. The record is from RNAcentral.
UACGUAGGGGGCUAGCGGUGUCCGGAUUUAUUGGGCGUAAAGAGCGUGUAGGCGGCCAGGUAGGUCUGGUGUGAAAACUCGAGGCUUAACCUCGAGAUGUCAUCGGAAACCAUUUGGCUAGAGUCCGGAAGAGGAGAGUGGAAUUCCUGGUGUAGCGGUGAAAUGCGCAGAUAUCAGGAAGAACACCAAUGGCGAAAGCAGCUCUCUGGGACGGUACUGACGCUGAGACGCGAAAGCGUGGGGAGCGAACAGG